GAUAAACGCUGGCGGCGUGCCUAAUACAUGCAAGUCGAGCGAACGGACGAGAAGCUUGCUUCUCUGAUGUUAGCGGCGGACGGGUGAGUAACACGUGGAUAACCUACCUAUAAGACUGGGAUAACUUCGGGAAACCGGAGCUAAUACCGGAUAAUAUUUUGAACCGCAUGGUUCAAAAGUGAAAGACGGUCUUGCUGUCACUUAUAGAUGGAUCCGCGCUGCAUUAGCUAGUUGGUAAGGUAACGGCUUACCAAGGCAACGAUGCAUAGCCGACCUGAGAGGGUGAUCGGCCACACUGGAACUGAGACACGGUCCAGACUCCUACGGGAGGCAGCAGUAGGGAAUCUUCCGCAAUGGGCGAAAGCCUGACGGAGCAACGCCGCGUGAGUGAUGAAGGUCUUCGGAUCGUAAAACUCUGUUAUUAGGGAAGAACAUAUGUGUAAGUAACUGUGCACAUCUUGACGGUACCUAAUCAGAAAGCCACGGCUAACUACGUGCCAGCAGCCGCGGUAAUACGUAGGUGGCAAGCGUUAUCCGGAAUUAUUGGGCGUAAAGCGCGCGUAGGCGGUUUUUUAAGUCUGAUGUGAAAGCCCACGGCUCAACCGUGGAGGGUCAUUGGAAACUGGAAAACUUGAGUGCAGAAGAGGAAAGUGGGAUUCCAUGUGUAGCGGUGAAAUGCGCAGAGAUAUGGAGGAACACCAGUGGCGAAGGCGACUUUCUGGUCUGUAACUGACGCUGAUGUGCGAAAGCGUGGGGAUCAAACAGGAUUAGAUACCCUGGUAGUCCACGCCGUAAACGAUGAGUGCUAAGUGUUAGGGGGUUUCCGCCCCUUAGUGCUGCAGCUAACGCAUUAAGCACUCCGCCUGGGGAGUACGACCGCAAGGUUGAAACUCAAAGGAAUUGACGGGGACCCGCACAAGCGGUGGAGCAUGUGGUUUAAUUCGAAGCAACGCGAAGAACCUUACCAAAUCUUGACAUCCUUUGACAACUCUAGAGAUAGAGCCUUCCCCUUCGGGGGACAAAGUGACAGGUGGUGCAUGGUUGUCGUCAGCUCGUGUCGUGAGAUGUUGGGUUAAGUCCCGCAACGAGCGCAACCCUUAAGCUUAGUUGCCAUCAUUAAGUUGGGCACUCUAAGUUGACUGCCGGUGACAAACCGGAGGAAGGUGGGGAUGACGUCAAAUCAUCAUGCCCCUUAUGAUUUGGGCUACACACGUGCUACAAUGGACAAUACAAAGGGCAGCGAAACCGCGAGGUCAAGCAAAUCCCAUAAAGUUGUUCUCAGUUCGGAUUGUAGUCUGCAACUCGACUACAUGAAGCUGGAAUCGCUAGUAAUCGUAGAUCAGCAUGCUACGGUGAAUACGUUCCCGGGUCU
This 1372-nucleotide ribosomal RNA is filed under the name uncultured bacterium. RNAcentral describes it as "bacterial SSU rRNA". It matches the Rfam family "Bacterial small subunit ribosomal RNA", at positions 28 to 1381 of the family's 1533-position model. The record is from RNAcentral.